Molecule: transfer RNA, 37 nt
Filed under: Polypedates leucomystax (Java whipping frog)
Lineage: Eukaryota; Metazoa; Chordata; Amphibia; Anura; Rhacophoridae
Description: partial tRNA-Gln
Source: RNAcentral
UNAAAGAGAUAGGAGUCGAACCUACGUCUAAGGGAUC